AUUGAACGCUGGCGGCAUGCUUUACACAUGCAAGUCGAACGGUAACAGGCCGCAAGGUGCUGACGAGUGGCGAACGGGUGAGUAAUGCAUCGGAACGUGCCCAGUCGUGGGGGAUAACUACUCGAAAGAGUAGCUAAUACCGCAUACGAUCUAUGGAUGAAAGCGGGGGACCGUAAGGCCUCGCGCGAUUGGAGCGGCCGAUGUCAGAUUAGGUAGUUGGUGGGGUAAAGGCUCACCAAGCCAACGAUCUGUAGCUGGUCUGAGGACGACCAGCCACACUGGGACUGAGACACGGCCCAGACUCCUACGGGAGGCAGCAGUGGGGAAUUUUGGACAAUGGGCGCAAGCCUGAUCCAGCAAUGCCGCGUGCAGGAAGAAGGCCUUCGGGUUGUAAACUGCUUUUGCACGGAACGAAACGGCUCUGGUUAAUACCCGGGGCUAAUGACGGUACCGUAAGAAUAAGCACCGGCUAACUACGUG
RNAcentral lists this ribosomal RNA (480 nucleotides) under uncultured bacterium. Its description in RNAcentral is "partial 16S ribosomal RNA". It matches the Rfam family "Bacterial small subunit ribosomal RNA", at positions 30 to 507 of the family's 1533-position model. The record is from RNAcentral.